ACAACACCUAGGAGGAUCCUGAGUACGGCGGAACACGAGAAAUUCCGUCGGAAUCCGCGGGGACCAUCCCGCAAGGCUAAAUACUCCCUAGUGACCGAUAGUGAACCAGUACCGUGAGGGAAAGGUGAAAAGCACCCCGGAAGGGGAGUGAAAUAGAUCCUGAAACCGUGUGCCUACAACAAGUCAAAGCUCGUUAAUGAGUGAUGGCGUGCCUUUUGUAGAAUGAACCGGCGAGUUACGAUUGCAUGCGAGGUUAAGUCGAAGAGACGGAGCCGCAGCGAAAGCGAGUCUGAAUAGGGCGAAUGAGUAUGUAGUCGUAGACCCGAAACCAUGUGAUCUACCCAUGUCCAGGUUGAAGGUGCGGUAAAACGCACUGGAGGACCGAACCCACGUACGUUGAAAAGUGCGGGGAUGAGGUGUGGGUAGCGGAGAAAUUCCAAACGAACUUGGAGAUAGCUGGUUCUCUCCGAAAUAGCUUUAGGGCUAGCCUCGGAAUUGAGAAUGAUGGAGGUAGAGCACUGUUUGGACUAGGGGCCCAUCUCGGGUUACCGAAUUCAGAUAAACUCCGAAUGCCAUUCAUUUAUAUCCGGGAGUCAGACUGCGAGUGAUAAGAUCCGUAGUCGAAAGGGAAACAGCCCAGACCACCAGCUAAGGUCCCAAAAUAUAUGUUAAGUGGAAAAGGAUGUGGGGUUGCACAGACAACUAGGAUGUUGGCUUAGAAGCAGCCACCAUUUAAAGAGUGCGUAAUAGCUCACUAGUCGAGUGACCCUGCGCCGAAAAUGUACCGGGGCUAAACAUAUUACCGAAGCUGUGGACUACACCAUUAGGUGUAGUGGUAGGAGAGCGUUCUAAGGGCGUUGAAGGUCGAUCGUGAGGACGGCUGGAGCGCUUAGAAGUGAGAAUGCCGGUAUGAGUAGCGAA
RNAcentral lists this ribosomal RNA (921 nucleotides) under Enterococcus faecalis. Its description in RNAcentral is "partial 23S ribosomal RNA". It matches the Rfam family "Bacterial large subunit ribosomal RNA", at positions 390 to 1313 of the family's 2925-position model. The record is from RNAcentral. Lineage: Bacteria; Bacillati; Bacillota; Bacilli; Lactobacillales; Enterococcaceae.